UCAGAUUGAACGCUGGCGGCAGGCCUAACACAUGCAAGUCGAGCGGAAACGAUGGGAGCUUGCUUCCAGGCGUCGAGCGGCGGACGGGUGAGUAAUGCAUGGGAAUCUGCCCGAUAGUGGGGGAUAACCUGGGGAAACCCAGGCUAAUACCGCAUACGUCCUACGGGAGAAAGCAGGGGAUCUUCGGACCUUGCGCUAUCGGAUGAGCCCAUGUCGGAUUAGCUUGUUGGUGAGGUAAUGGCUCACCAAGGCGACGAUCCGUAGCUGGUCUGAGAGGAUGAUCAGCCACAUCGGGACUGAGACACGGCCCGAACUCCUACGGGAGGCAGCAGUGGGGAAUAUUGGACAAUGAGCGAAAGCCUGAUCCAGCCAUGCCGCGUGUGUGAAGAAGGCCCUCGGGUUGUAAAGCACUUUCAGUGGGGAAGAAAGCCUUGGGAUUAAUACUCCCGAGGAAGGACAUCACCCACAGAAGAAGCACCGGCUAACUCCGUGCCAGCAGCCGCGGUAAUACGGGGGGUGCGAGCGUUAAUCGGAAUUACUGGGCGUAAAGCGCGCGUAGGCGGUCUGAUAAGCCGGUUGUGAAAGCCCCGGGCUCAACCUGGGAACGGCAUCCGGAACUGUCAGGCUAGAGUGCAGGAGAGGAAGGUA
This 648-nucleotide ribosomal RNA is filed under the name uncultured bacterium. Its description in RNAcentral is "bacterial SSU rRNA". It matches the Rfam family "Bacterial small subunit ribosomal RNA", at positions 24 to 663 of the family's 1533-position model. The record is from RNAcentral.